Molecule: ribosomal RNA, 469 nt
Filed under: uncultured bacterium
Lineage: Bacteria
Description: partial 16S ribosomal RNA
Rfam family: Bacterial small subunit ribosomal RNA
Source: RNAcentral
UCCAGACUCCUACGGGAGGCAGCAGUGGGGAAUCUUCCGCAAUGGGCGAAAGCCUGACGGAGCAACGCCGCGUGAUCGAAUGAAGGCCUUCGGGUUGUAAAGAUCUGUUGAUAGGGACGAAUAAGCAAUGCGAAUAGUUUUGUGUAUGACGGUACCUGUUUAGAAAGCUCCGGCUAACUACGUGCCAGCAGCCGCGGUAAUACGUAGGGAGCAAGCGUUGUCCGGAAUCAUUGGGCGUAAAGAGUUCGUAGGCGGCAUGUAAAGUCAGGUGUUAAAGGCGCAGGCUCAACCUGUGUAUGGCACUUGAUACUUGCAAGCUGGAAUGCGGUAGAGGUAAAGGGAAUUCCUGGUGUAGCGGUGAAAUGCUUAGAUAUCAGGAGGAACAUCGGUGGCGUAAGCGCUUUACUGGGCCGUAAUUGACGCUGAGGAACGAAAGCCAGGGUAGCAAAUGGGAUUAGAUACCCCGGUA